This 984-nucleotide ribosomal RNA is filed under the name human gut metagenome. RNAcentral's name for it is "bacterial LSU rRNA". It matches the Rfam family "Bacterial large subunit ribosomal RNA", at positions 1942 to 2925 of the family's 2925-position model. The record is from RNAcentral.
AUAACGGUCCUAAGGUAGCGAAAUUCCUUGUCAGGUAAGUUCUGACCCGCACGAAUGGCGUAAUGAUUUGGGCACUGUCUCGACAGCCCGCCCGGCGAAAUUGUAGUACUGGUGAAGAUGCCAGUUACCCGCAACUAGACGGAAAGACCCCAUGGAGCUUUACUGCAGCUUAAUACUGGAAAUCGGUAAUUCAUGUACAGGAUAGGUGGGAGACGGAGAAGCAUGGUCGUCAGGUCAUGUGGAGUCGUCCUUGGGAUACCACUCUUGGAUUGCUGAUUUUCUAACCUGCGGCCGUGAAUCCGGUCGGGGGACACUGUUAGGCGGGCAGUUUGACUGGGGCGGUCGCCUCCAAAAAGGUAACGGAGGCGCUCAAAGGUUCGUUCAGCACGGACGGAAAUCGUGCAUUGAGUGUAAACGCAUAAACGAGCCUAACUGCGAGACCGACGGGUCGAGCAGUAACGAAAGUUGGAGUUAGUGAUCCGGUGGUAUGUGAGUGGAAAUGCCAUCGCUCAACGGAUAAAAGUUACCCUGGGGAUAACAGGCUGAUCUCCCCCAAGAGUCCACAUCGACGGGGAGGUUUGGCACCUCGAUGUCGGCUCAUCGCAUCCUGGGGCUGAAUUCGGUCCCAAGGGUUUGGCUGUUCGCCAAUUAAAGCGGCACGCGAGCUGGGUUCAGAACGUCGUGAGACAGUUCGGUCCCUAUCUGUUGCGGGCGUAAGAGAUUUGAAGGGAGCUGUCCUUAGUACGAGAGGACCGGGAUGGACGUACCUCUGGUGCACCAGUUGUCCUGCCAAGGGCAUAGCUGGGUAGCUAUGUACGGACGAGAUAAACGCUGAAAGCAUCUAAGCGUGAAACUCCCCCUAAGAUGAGAUUUCUCAUUCGAAAGAAGUAAGGACCCAGAGAGACGAUCUGGUUGAUAGGCGCGAGGUGGAAGUGCAGUAAUGUAUGGAGCUGACGCGUACUAAUAGUCCGAGGGCUUGACCUA